Molecule: ribosomal RNA, 693 nt
Filed under: uncultured bacterium
Lineage: Bacteria
Description: bacterial SSU rRNA
Rfam family: Bacterial small subunit ribosomal RNA
Source: RNAcentral
AACGCUAGCUACAGGCUUAACACAUGCAAGUCGAGGGGCAGCGGGAAGUCAGCUUGCUGACUUUGCCGGCGACCGGCGCACGGGUGAGUAACGCGUAUCCAACCUUCCGUUUACUCAGGGAUAGCCUUUCGAAAGAAAGAUUAAUACCUGAUAGUAUGGUAAGAUUGCAUGAUAAUACCAUUAAAGAUUCAUUGGUAAACGAUGGGGAUGCGUUCCAUUAGGUAGUAGGCGGGGUAACGGCCCACCUAGCCGACGAUGGAUAGGGGUUCUGAGAGGAAGGUCCCCCACAUUGGAACUGAGACACGGUCCAACUCCUACGGGAGGCAGCAGUGAGGAAUAUUGGUCAAUGGGCGAGAGCCUGAACCAGCCAAGUAGCGUGAAGGAUGAAGGUUCUAUGGAUUGUAAACUUCUUUUAUAAGGGAAUAAAGUGCUUUACGUGUAGAGUUUUGUAUGUACCUUAUGAAUAGGCAUCGGCUAACUCCGUGCCAGCAGCCGCGGUAAUACGGAGGAUGCGAGCGUUAUCCGGAUUUAUUGGGUUUAAAGGGAGCGUAGACGGGAUGUUAAGUCAGCUGUGAAAGUUUGGGGCUCAACCUUAAAAUUGCAGUUGAAACUGGCGUUCUUGAGUGCGGUAGAGGCAGGCGGAAUUCGUGGUGUAGCGGUGAAAUGCUUAGAUAUCACGAAGAACUCCGAUUG